RNAcentral lists this ribosomal RNA (490 nucleotides) under uncultured bacterium. Its description in RNAcentral is "partial 16S ribosomal RNA". It matches the Rfam family "Bacterial small subunit ribosomal RNA", at positions 29 to 507 of the family's 1533-position model. The record is from RNAcentral.
AUUGAACGCUGGCGGCAGGCCUAACACAUGCAAGUCGAACGGUAACAGAAAGCAGCUUGCUGCUUUGCUGACGAGAGGCGGACGGGUGUGUAAUGUCUGGGAAACUGUACUUUGGCGGGGGAUAACAACUGGAAACGGUAGCUAAUAUAGCACAUCGUAGCAACACCAAAGAGGGGGACCUUCUGGCCCCUUGCCAUAGGAUGUGCCCAGAUGGGAUUAGCGAGUAGGUGGGGUAACGGCCCACCAAGGCGACGCUCACUAGCUGGUCUGAGAGGAUGAUCAGACAAACUGGAAAUGAGACACGGGCAAGAGUCAGACGGGAGGCAGCGGUGGGGAAUAUUGGACAAUGGGCGCAAGAGUGAUCAAGCCAUACCGAGGGGGUGAAGAAGGAAUUCGGGUUGUAAAGCCCUUUUGUUGGGAAAGAAAAGAAGCAGGUUAAUAAACCGAUGUUCUGACGGUAACCAAAGAAUAAGCAACGGCUAAAUUCGUG